AUAGCUGAAGAGUGGCGCAUAACCUCAAAAAAGUGUUGUGUUUUGGUUUGUUUUCCUCAUUUUUGAGAAUUAUUGGCCAAAAAGGAGUGAUUUAAUUAUCUGUGGCAUUUAAUUUGCAGGAUCCUUUAAAGAUCAGCGUUGGAGGACAUUGAAGAGCAGCUCCUGGAGGCGCGCGGGAAGGACUGGACUCCCGGAAAGGCCAUCCAGAGGGAAAAAGCACAGGUGGAGAAUCAUUUAAAUGCAUCGCGUGAGGAUAAAUUCUACAGGAAACUCGUGAAUUUCCUUCAAUUCCGGCUUCUGUGUUGCUGGAAUCCGAGUUCUUCGUGGCUUCAAAUCCGCCUCCAGAGGCCGGAGAGUCAUCCAGUCAACACCAGAAUGAGGAACACAGGAAGAGUGGACCCAAGAACAAGUCAGGAAAAGCAGCAAAAGGCGCAGAAAGAAGUGAGAAUCGUCAGGGAAGAAGGCGCAAGAGUGAAUUGCAGGAAAAUGCGGAUGUCGAGGAGGACAAUUUGCUGUUAGAAGAAUCUGCAGUGCGAUGAGAAAACGCCAAUGUGACGAAAACUCCGCAGAAUCGACAGAGAAAGUCACAGAAAUGCCGUGUUUCGGCGUCUCCACUUGCCGUGUGUCUCCGCUGAGCUUUGAUAAGAGAAAAGAGAGCAGAGAGAGAGAGAGAGAGAGAGAGAGAGCGA
Long non-coding RNA from Phlebotomus argentipes, 689 nucleotides. RefSeq lists it as uncharacterized. NCBI's taxonomy places the organism in Eukaryota, Metazoa, Arthropoda, Insecta, Diptera, Psychodidae. The transcript has 4 exons. The record is from RefSeq and is a predicted model, not a curated record.